GGAGUAACGGUAUCACACUGUAAAGAACGCAGUGAAGCAGUGAAGCUUGCCCCUGUCACCGGGUUCGGCGCCACGAGUCAACACUGAACACGAGAAGUCUGACUGUUUAUUCUCCUCUUCAUGCAACGCGGUUCCUGCUGUCUGGUGUGCCGUGCCUUCAUCUACAUCGUGAUCACCGCAGGUCUUACUCUGCUUCUUCAUGAGUUCACGAGCACCCUUAGUCACCAGCUUCACCACGUGCUUCAUCGCUUCGUGGGCAUUCUCUUCGCUUUCUGCCUGCUCCCCGAUGCAGCGUUACUACAGCUCAGGGCGUGCUCCGAUGUAUUCCUGUAAACAAGCUUGAAGGUUUGCAUACGGAUGGACUCAGUCUUUCCACCAGAGUUACCUGCACAUGCCCCACGCACUCCGGAAGCACGGGACGGCGAUGAGAACAAGGACGACGAGGCGGGAACUGACCGGCAAGAUUUCUAUCCCUCGUGCUUCCCUGGUUCUUUUCCUGGUUCUCGUCCUCGUCGUUGUUUUUCUCCUUAUUUUCGUCUUCUUGUCUUUCUUGUCCUCGUCCUUUUGUCGUCUUCCUUAUGUUUGUCCUUCUCCGCCUCGUUCUCCUUCUCGUCUUCCUUUUUCUGCGUCUUCUU
Molecule: long non-coding RNA, 635 nt
Organism: Scylla paramamosain (green mud crab)
Lineage: Eukaryota; Metazoa; Arthropoda; Malacostraca; Decapoda; Portunidae
Exons: 4
Source: RefSeq, a predicted model, not a curated record